CUUACAUCAUCAUUCAUCUUAAAUAGACCUGAUGUCAUGUUGUCAGCCAAGUAGAAGCUCCAAUCAGUCAUCUUCAUCAUCAUCAUCAUCAUCAUCAUGUUCUCUGUAGUUCUGCUGCUUCUGGCUGCUGGAUCCUGUGUAAAGUGUGAACAGCUGACACAGCCAGCCUCUGUGAGUCUGCAGCCAGGUGAGAGGCUGACCAUCACCUGUCAGGUCUCUUAUUCUGUGAGCGGCUACUACACAGGUUGGAUCAGACAGCCUGCAGGGAAAGGACUGGAAUGGAUUGGGAUGAAAUACACUGGAGGCUCUCACUACAAAGAUUCACUGAAGAACAAGUUCAGCAUUGAUGUAGACUCUUCCAACAACAGAGUGACUCUAAAUGGACAGAACAUGCAGCCUGAAGACUCUGCUGUGUAUUUCUGUGCCAGAAGGUCACAGUGAUACAAACCAUCAGCA
Molecule: non-coding RNA, 456 nt
Organism: Oryzias latipes (Japanese medaka)
Lineage: Eukaryota; Metazoa; Chordata; Actinopteri; Beloniformes; Adrianichthyidae
Source: the annotation of a RefSeq genome assembly